CCCUUAGAUGUCCUGGGCCGCACGCGCGCUACACUGAUGCAUGCAACGAGUUUAUAACCUUGGCCUGAAAGGUCUGGGUAAUCUUUUGAACGUGCAUCGUGAUAGGGAUAGAUUAUUGCAAUUGUUAAUCUUGAACGAGGAAUUCCUAGUAAACGCGAGUCAUCAGCUCGCAUUGAUUACGUCCCUGCCCUUUGUACACACCGCCCGUCGCACCUACCGAUUGAAUGGUUCGGUGAAGAUCUCGGACUUCGAUAUUUAUUCUUUAUUGAGUUUAUGUUGUGGGAAGUUAUCUAAACCUCAUCAUUUAGAGGAAGGUGAAGUCGUAACA
RNAcentral lists this ribosomal RNA (328 nucleotides) under uncultured eukaryote. RNAcentral's name for it is "partial 18S ribosomal RNA". It matches the Rfam family "Eukaryotic small subunit ribosomal RNA", at positions 1470 to 1796 of the family's 1831-position model. The record is from RNAcentral.